AACGACUCUCGGCAACGGAUAUCUCGGCUCUCGCAUCGAUGAAGAACGUAGCGAAAUGCGAUACUUGGUGUNAAUUGCAGAAUCCCGUGAACCAUCGAGUUUUUGAACGCAAGUUGCGCCCGAAGCCUUUUGGCUGAGGGCACGUCUGCCUGGGCG
Molecule: ribosomal RNA, 156 nt
Filed under: Silene odontopetala
Lineage: Eukaryota; Viridiplantae; Streptophyta; Magnoliopsida; Caryophyllales; Caryophyllaceae
Description: 5.8S ribosomal RNA
Rfam family: 5.8S ribosomal RNA
About the family: 5.8S ribosomal RNA (5.8S rRNA) is a component of the large subunit of the eukaryotic ribosome. It is transcribed by RNA polymerase I as part of the 45S precursor that also contains 18S and 28S rRNA.
Source: RNAcentral